RNAcentral lists this ribosomal RNA (318 nucleotides) under Aegilops tauschii subsp. strangulata. Its description in RNAcentral is "rRNA LSU_rRNA_eukarya". It matches the Rfam family "Bacterial large subunit ribosomal RNA", at positions 1692 to 2034 of the family's 2925-position model. The record is from RNAcentral. Lineage: Eukaryota; Viridiplantae; Streptophyta; Magnoliopsida; Poales; Poaceae.
GAGAUAACUGUCUCGAAUGAACUCGACAAAACAGUCCCGUAACUUCGGGAGAAGGGGUGCCCCCUCACAAAAGGGGGCCGCAGUGACCAGGCACGGGCGAAUGUUUACCAAAAGCACAGGUCUCCUCUAAGUCGCAAGACCAACGUAUGGGGGUUGACGCCUGCCUAGUGCCGGAAGACCAAGGAAGUUGGUGAACUGAUGACAGGGAAGCCGGUGGCCAUAACUAUAAUGGUCCUAAGGUAGUGAAAUUCGUUGUCAGAUAAGUUCCGACCUGCACGAAAGGCGUAAUGAUCUGGGCACUAUCUCGGGGAGAGUCUC